This 413-nucleotide ribosomal RNA is filed under the name Thalassiosira oceanica. Its description in RNAcentral is "partial Bacterial small subunit ribosomal RNA". It matches the Rfam family "Bacterial small subunit ribosomal RNA", at positions 424 to 829 of the family's 1533-position model. The record is from RNAcentral. Lineage: Eukaryota; Bacillariophyta; Thalassiosirophyceae; Thalassiosirales; Thalassiosiraceae.
UGUAAACCGCUUUUGUCAGGGAAGAAAAGGUUCUGGCUAAUACCUGGGACUCAUGACGGUACCUGAAGAAUAAGCACCGGCUAACUACGUGCCAGCAGCCGCGGUAAUACGUAGGGUGCAAGCGUUAAUCGGAAUUACUGGGCGUAAAGCGUGCGCAGGCGGUUAUGCAAGACAGAGGUGAAAUCCCCGGGCUCAACCUGGGAACUGCCUUUGUGACUGCAUGGCUAGAGUACGGUAGAGGGGGAUGGAAUUCCGCGUGUAGCAGUGAAAUGCGUAGAUAUGCGGAGGAACACCGAUGGCGAAGGCAAUCCCCUGGACCUGUACUGACGCUCAUGCACGAAAGCGUGGGGAGCAAACAGGAUUAGAUACCCUGGUAGUCCACGCCGUAAACGAUGUCUACUAGCCGUUGGGUU